This 473-nucleotide ribosomal RNA is filed under the name uncultured organism. RNAcentral's name for it is "partial 16S ribosomal RNA". It matches the Rfam family "Bacterial small subunit ribosomal RNA", at positions 333 to 797 of the family's 1533-position model. The record is from RNAcentral.
ACACUCCUGCGGGAGGCAGCAGUGGGGAAUUUUGGACAAUGGGCGAAAGCCUGAUCCAGCAAUGCCGCGUGAGUGAAGAAGGCCUUCGGGUUGUAAAGCUCUUUUGUCAGGGAAGAAACGGUGAAAGCUAAUAUCUUUUGCUAAUGACGGUACCUGAAGAAUAAGCACCGGCUAACUACGUGCCAGCAGCCGCGGUAAUACGUAGGGUGCAAGCGUUAAUCGGGAUUACUGGGCGUAAAGCGUGCGCAGGCGGUUUUGUAAGUCUGAUGUGAAAUCCCCGGGCUCAACCUGGGAAUUGCAUUGGAGACUGCAAGGCUAGAAUCUGGCAGAGGGGGGUAGAAUUCCACGUGUAGCAGUGAAAUGCGUAGAUAUGUGGAGGAACACCGAUGGCGAAGGCAGCCCCCUGGGUCAAGAUUGACGCUCAUGCACGAAAGCGUGGGGAGCAAACAGGAUUAGAAACCCUUGUAGUCCCA